AGUGAACGCUGGCGGUAGGCCUAACACAUGCAAGUCGAACGGCAGCACAGUAAGAGCUCGCUCUUACGGGUGGCGAGUGGCGGACGGGUGAGGAGUACAUCGGAAUCUACUUUUUCGUGGGGGAUAACGUAGGGAAACUUACGCUAAUACCGCAUACGACCUACGGGUGAAAGCAGGGGAUCUUCGGACCUUGCGCGAUUGUAUGAGCCGAUGUCGGAUUAGCUAGUUGGCGGGGUAAAGGCCCACCAAGGCGACGAUCCGUAGCUGGUCUGAGAGGAUGAUCAGCCACACUGGAACUGAGACACGGUCCAGACUCCUACGGGAGGCAGCAGUGGGGAAUAUUGGACAAUGGGCGCAAGCCUGAUCCAGCCAUACCGCGUGGGUGAAGAAGGCCUUCGGGUUGUAAAGCCCUUUUGUUGGGAAAGAAAAGCAGCAGGUUAAUACCCCGCUGUUCUGACGGUACCCAAAGAAUAAGCACCGGCUAACUUCGUG
RNAcentral lists this ribosomal RNA (492 nucleotides) under uncultured bacterium. Its description in RNAcentral is "partial 16S ribosomal RNA". It matches the Rfam family "Bacterial small subunit ribosomal RNA", at positions 29 to 507 of the family's 1533-position model. The record is from RNAcentral.